This 71-nucleotide transfer RNA is filed under the name Loxodonta africana (African savanna elephant). It matches the Rfam family "tRNA". Rfam says of the family: Transfer RNA (tRNA) molecules are approximately 80 nucleotides in length. Lineage: Eukaryota; Metazoa; Chordata; Mammalia; Proboscidea; Elephantidae. The record is from Rfam by way of RNAcentral.
GCAGUUGUGGUUCAUUGGUAGAAUUUUCACUUUCCAUGUGGGAGACCUGAGUUCAAUUCCUGGCCAGUGCA